Molecule: ribosomal RNA, 281 nt
Filed under: uncultured soil bacterium
Lineage: Bacteria
Description: partial 16S ribosomal RNA
Rfam family: Bacterial small subunit ribosomal RNA
Source: RNAcentral
AGAGCGAACGCUGGCGGCAGGCCUAACACAUGCAAGUCGAACGGACCCUUCGGGGUUAGUGGCGGACGGGUGAGUAACACGUGGGAACGUGCCUUUAGGUUCGGAAUAGCUCCUGGAAACGGGUGGUAAUGCCGAAUGUGCCCUUCGGGGGAAAGAUUUAUCGCCUUUAGAGCGGCCCGCGUCUGAUUAGCUUGUUGGUGGGUAAUGGCCCACCAAGGCUACGAUCAGUAGCUGGUCUGAGAGGAUGACCAGCCACAUUGGGACUGGACGACGACCGACCC